This 67-nucleotide transfer RNA is filed under the name Poecilocoris nepalensis. Its description in RNAcentral is "tRNA-Gly". Lineage: Eukaryota; Metazoa; Arthropoda; Insecta; Hemiptera; Scutelleridae. The record is from RNAcentral.
AUCUUUUUAGUAUAAAAUUUAAUUAUAUUUGACUUCCAAUCAAAAGAUCUUUACAUAAGAAAAGAUA